Molecule: long non-coding RNA, 1128 nt
Filed under: Sorghum bicolor (sorghum)
Lineage: Eukaryota; Viridiplantae; Streptophyta; Magnoliopsida; Poales; Poaceae
Description: long non-coding RNA (SBIC_LNC008602)
Source: RNAcentral
UGCCUAGUAUACAACUUAGUAUUUCUCUAAGUAUGGAUCACUUAGCUCACUUAAACUGCCAUGAACCUAAAAACUUUGUGGGUUGCAAGUGCUAGAACUAAGUCUAAGUUGUUGUGGGACAUGAGAUAGUAAGACAAGAGCUACUAUAAUAUUUUUCUAAGCAUGCAUGAUUAUCAGAGAUUUAUUCUUAAAAUGAUCAAAACCUUAAUUGUUCCUCAAUGGUGAUGAAUUCCUACCACAGCCAUAUCUACUUUACAUAAUUGCAACCUUUCCACAUAAGCUAUUUGCUUUGUGUUGAGUGUCGUCAAGUCUUGUUGACCCUUGUUAAGAGACUUUUCAUGCUCCUAAGAUCAAGAUCACGUACACACCACAUAUAUAUAUGCUGCUUCUACACUGGAAGUACGCAACCACAUGUAUUUCGCAUCCACUAAAUAGGUUGCUCCAUACUCUAAAUGGUAGAACAUCUCUCUAAGCAUUAUUUGGUAAAUGAGACAUCAAAAGGGCUAGGCAAAAUGAAAUAAAAAGAUGGACAUGUGCAAGUCCACAGAAAAAGAAAAUUGAGCACAUGAAAGCUCAUAUAUAAAAAAAAAUGCUAGCCAUGUCUCAAUACAUAGAGAGUCUAUCAAAUAAAGGAGCAACCUAGUCCACCAUAUAUCACACUUGCACAUCUUGAUCUGGGAGUAUGACACUUCUCUUCAAGGAUCCGAGCUUUGCCUUCGCAAUACAUGCAAAGUAAGUAUGCUAUCUCCUUUCAUCCCUACCUUGAACUCCACAUAAGCCUUUUAGAAAUAGGAUGAAAUAGAGAAGGCAACUCUUACCAUAUGCCUUGGUGAGGAAUCAUACACCAUUUGAGUGACAUGAGAGAACCAUAAGAGGAACAUUUAAGCUUUCUUUUGAAAAUAUCACAAAACCUCUGAUAUGAAACUUGCUAAGAAUGAGAAAGUUAGUGCUCAAGUCAAACUGUUCUGUCUCUCAACCACCUAAGACAAAGGAAAAGCCAUAAGCCCCGUAAGGGACUAAGGUAAUAGGGGUAAGUUUACAUAGCUAAAUCUUUCAUGCAAAGAGAAGAACUUUGUUGUACACAUGGUACUCUUGAAAUGUGAACAUAGUAACAAUACCUGAUCCACC